GAUGAACGCUAGCUACAGGCUUAACACAUGCAAGUCGAGGGGAAACGAUAGAGAAAGCUUGCUUUUUCUAGGCGUCGACCGGCGCACGGGUGAGUAACGCGUAUCCAACCUGCCCACCACUUGGGGAUAACCUUGCGAAAGUAAGACUAAUACCCAAUGACGUCUCUAGAAGACAUCUGAAAGAGAUUAAAGAUUUAUCGGUGAUGGAUGGGGAUGCGUCUGAUUAGCUUGUUGGCGGGGUAACGGCCCACCUAGCCUACGAUGGAUAGGGGUUCUGAGAGGAAGGUCCCCCACAUUGGAACUGAGACACGGUCCAAACUCCUACGGGAGGCAGCAGUGAGGAAUAUUGGUCAAUGGACGAGAGUCUGAACCAGCCAAGUAGCGUGAAGGAUGAAGGUCCUACGGAUUGUAAACUUCUUUUAUAAGGGAAUAAAACCUCCCACGUGUGGGGGCUUGUAUGUACCUUAUGAAUAAGCAUCGGCUAACUCCGUG
RNAcentral lists this ribosomal RNA (492 nucleotides) under uncultured bacterium. RNAcentral describes it as "bacterial SSU rRNA". It matches the Rfam family "Bacterial small subunit ribosomal RNA", at positions 28 to 507 of the family's 1533-position model. The record is from RNAcentral.